This 355-nucleotide RNase P RNA is filed under the name Shewanella sp. Arc9-LZ. RNAcentral describes it as "RNase P RNA component class A". It matches the Rfam family "Bacterial RNase P class A". Rfam says of the family: Ribonuclease P (RNase P) is a ubiquitous endoribonuclease, found in archaea, bacteria and eukarya as well as chloroplasts and mitochondria. Its best characterised activity is the generation of mature 5'-ends of tRNAs by cleaving the 5'-leader elements of precursor-tRNAs. Cellular RNase Ps are ribonucleoproteins. Lineage: Bacteria; Pseudomonadati; Pseudomonadota; Gammaproteobacteria; Alteromonadales; Shewanellaceae. The record is from RNAcentral.
CGAGUUGGCCAGACAGUUGCCGCGUACGCAAGUACGGGGAGGAAAGUCCGGGCUUCAAAGAGCGGGGUACCAGGUAACGCCUGGGCGGUGUGAACCGACGACAAGUGCAACAGAGAGGAAACCGCCAUUUUGGCUUAGGCUAAAGAUGGUAAGGGUGAAAGGGUGCGGUAAGAGCGCACCGUGCGGCUAGCAAUAGUCCGUAGCAAGGUAAACUCUACCCGAAGCAAGACCAAAUAGGGUUCCGCAUGGCGCUGCUCGCGUUGGAACCGGGUAGGUUGCUUGAGCCUGUGAGCGAUUGCAGGCCUAGAUGAAUAACUGUCCACGACAGGACCCGGCUUAUCGGCCAACUCACCUC